Long non-coding RNA from Neopsephotus bourkii (Bourke's parrot), 5211 nucleotides. RefSeq lists it as uncharacterized. The record is from RefSeq and is a predicted model, not a curated record. The transcript has 3 exons. NCBI's taxonomy places the organism in Eukaryota, Metazoa, Chordata, Aves, Psittaciformes, Psittacidae.
GUCCUGGAAGGCUGCUCUAAGGUAAUUUCUUGCUUAUGCAAUUACCUAAGGCUAUAUAAAGACUUCUUUUUUUUUUUUUUUUAACCAAGCAGGAAAUAUUUGCACUACAAAAUGUUAAAAGCAACCCUUAGUUAUCACCAUGAAUAUACCAGACAAAUGACAGCAAAAUAAAAGACAAUUUGAAUGCAAUGACUGGAAACUUGCAGGGAAAGUCUCCCUGCCCUCUGACCCUCUGCUAGAGCUGCUAGUCCUCUCUAACAAUCUGCUUUCUGAAACAGGUUUCUAAGUGUUAAACUAUAAAAUCUAAGCUAGGAGGCUAUUUAACAGUAGAUCAUCCUUCUCUGAAUGCUGCAAUACCAUCAAUCUUUCUUGGAAUGGGAUUUGCAUAGUAAUCAGCGAAGAAUUUAGUCCUAGCACUGUUAUAUCUCCAGCUAGCUGUUAUAUUUACUACAUUAUCUUAUUUAUCUGAAAACAGUUAUUCUUCAAUCUAGAAUGAUUUUAUUCAGUCUAUAACUACAACUCAUCCUAGUAGCAUCUGUAAAAAAGUGAAUUAAUUUUGGAAGAAGUAACUUUUUAAACACCACUGGACUGCUACUCUGUGGGACAAAGAGGUUUUUAUUUCUUGAGGUGAGUAAAUACAUUCAGCUUCCCAAAUCAGGUAGAUAUGAUAGAGCCACAGGGGUUACAUGUACAUACUAUAGACUUUAUACAAUAUGUUACUUUCUAUUUAACCCCUCACUCUCUCACACUUUGCAAUUACCUCUCAACUUCAGAGCUAGCAGUAAGAUCUAUUUCAUGCAGCUGCUCAAAUUAAAUCAAUUACUUGAGCUCUUCCAGCUCCAGGUGCCAUUAAGCAGAGCUCACCCUUUCCUACCCACAAAUGUGGCAGGCAUAGAUGUUAACUGUUUUCUGUGUUAACAUCCUGAAAAUCAGGUCCCAGAGCAAAUUACACACAGGGCCUCUUCCUGCCAGCUCUGCAAAGGAGAAGAAGCAAGUGCUUUUUGUUUAGUGCUUAUAUUAGACCAUGCAGUACUGAGAGUUAAUAGGUCAGUUUAUAUGUCUGUCCUUCCUGAAAAGGAAUUUGACUUUAUGCCAUCCGCUUCUUCUGGCCUAAAGGGACUGGGUGAUGUGGAAAAGCAUGAAGGAGCUCACAUGCUAGGCUAGGUGGAAUAAGUUUGGGCACCAUUUCAUUCCCUGGAGCAAUGAUUCUGAUGCCAUGUAACAGUCAGUGAAAUGACUAUAAAAAGCAGAAAGAAACUCUGUGCAUGCAAAGGAGCAAAAGGGGAAAUAAAAAUAAUGGAUUGAUUUUCAGAGUCCACCCUUGUACGUAUUUGGCUGUAAUUAAGAACCUCUGUAGUAUCUUAGCACAAGGUGGUCAAAGGACACUUUUUUCUUUUGAAAGAGACAUCUACAGCACUUUAACAGAAAAAAAAGAAGGGGGAAACAAUUUCCUAAUUAGCUUCUAUAAUGAGAAGGAGAAGUGGAAAGGAACCCCUCAUACAGCAUAGCUUGAAAUUGAGCCAAGUGCUGUACAGCUGAACUUUUUCAAUGGCUAUAAGCCAUGAGCUAACUUUCAAUACUCACAGUUGCUUUCUCCAUAUGUGUGCUUGAAUAUCUUCUAGUAAAAGUACAAAGCCAGUAGUCAGCUUCAGCCAAACUAUACCAAGCAGUAAAUGUCUAACAACUCCUGAGCUCAUGUAUGCCUUUGAGGAAAGCAGCCAGUGAAGGAGAAGUUGGAUUAGUUGCCACCCAAAUGAAAGGAUGCGUCAUGAGCUUCACCUGGAUUAGUCUGCAGCAAAUGGGAAGGAGCUGCAAUUGAUGCUUUGUCCAUGUGGGGCCUAAACCUGGCUGAACUUUGUCUUUUUCUAGACAUCAAAAAUAUCCACUACAAUCCAUGCCUUUAGGGUGCUAGACUGCUUUUAUUUCAGAUUUGAGCUCCCACCCCAAUAUCAGUGUUGAAAGAGCUCCAAAUAUCAGAAACCCCACAGCACAGCUUAGAGAUGAGCUCACCUGUGAUCAGUGGGAGGGGGACUGAAGUAGCUGUCAAAGAAAAAAAGUUGCUUGAAUCCAAACAUGGAGAAAACCUUUUGGUCAGCUUAGCAAAUGGUAAGGUAUGGGAGAGUUAGCAAAACAAGAAGAAACCACUCAAACAGCUAUUAAAUAACAGCAAUUAAUUUCCUUAGCUCUGUUUUGUGGAAUAAAAUGCUGAUCUUGUUCAUUUACUCUGGUAGAUGGGAAAAUGUUGUCACCAGGGGUCAUGUGUGCUGGGAUGAUGGGAAAGUGUAUGAGCAGGAAGUAAUUAAGUAGUUGUAAAAAAGCUGGACAGAAUAUGACAUAGCACACCAGGUCCAGCUAAUGAACCUGCCUGAAUUUAUAGGUGGAUAAAACAUGUUAAGCUACGGGUCAUUUGAGUUCUCAAGUGACAGGUCAGAUCUGUGGAGUGGCAAGCAUAGCAUCAUUAUUAAAAUAAGCAUUGGCAAGUAUUAUGAGUCUGCCCUUAGGUUUAAUAACGUUUAAUUUUAUAAGUGGCUCUGGAUGAUAUCAAGUAGCUGUUGAGUCAAUUAAAUGCACACAGAGAAGUGCCUAUGGAGGCUGGAUUACUGGCACAGGGUCAAGGCACUCCUGGGCGGGUGGGACAUCUCUCCAUCCAUAGACAUUUUUAUUUGUUUGUUACUUAUGCUCUGGCCGUCUGAGAGCUCAGGGCAAAACUCCACUGACUUAUAAAUCUCUGCUUCUGUGCCAAAGUAUCUUCAUCAGCCACUUCAGCUGCACGACACCUAUCCCACACCCAGGCCUGUCAGCAUUGCCAAAGUGAUAUUCUCAGCACAUCUGUCUGAGCAGGACCCAUGUGCAGCUGAGGGAGUACCAAGGCCCUUCUCUGCUCUCUGCUUUCCUUCCCCCCACUGGAGCUGUGUAUGGCUCCGCUAACCAUGGGUGAGAUCCCAGGGGCACUUUGAGGAUUUGGGGUAAAUCUUGUUCCAGUGAAAUCAAUGGGAGUUUUGCCAUUGACUUUGGUGGGGCCGGACUUCAUUCAUAAAGCGUUGACUGUUAUAAUAGAUUUACCAGCCCCACAGGCAGGCCAUGCAGAAGUGUAAUAGAUCUCACACUCUUGCUUCUAGAAAUGAAUCCCCUGGCUCAUGACAAGGUCUGCAGGGAGCAGCUUCCCUGAGCCAAGCCCUUUAUCUGGGAAACCUACCACAUGGUUCUCCACUGUACAUACAGGGUGGAGCAGGGCUGACUGUGCCUCCACCAUGGAUGGGUAUACGUGCAUGCCAUCCAGCUCUGGGAGAAGCCAAAAGCUCCCCCAGAGGUGUGGCCCAGUUGGUUCUGCACCACAGUGAGCUGGUCCCUUGAGCAAUAACAGCAAGGGUGGACUUCCCCUGCUUGCACUGUGGCCAAGCUGGCCCUGAGCAGCCUCAGCACAGAGGCGGCACAAGCCACUGCAUGAGCCAGCAUCUGUGCAAGCAAAGGGAUGAAUUCUGGCUAUUACAGAGCAGGGAAACUGCUGCAACAGCCAGCACUGACCCUGUGCUACAGCUGUGGAGAGAGCUGUGGGCUGAAUGCUGCCGGCCAUGUGUACUGACUGUUCACUUAAUUUAAACAGAAAAGAAGGAGACAGGGAAUCCUGCUCCAUUGUCCUACUGCAAGUGGGAAAGGGCUGAACUAAUUCAAACCAAACUCAGCACAGAACCUCCUCCCAGGCAGAGACAUUUUUCUGUCAGGUUCCAGCCCUGGGAGAACUUUUACAGCUGAGCAAUAAACUGUUGAAACAGAGGUGAAGGCCUCACUAGCUCCAGGCUCCUGACACAGGGAGCAGCACAGAGCAACGGGCACCGUUUAAAUCCGUAGGAUUGUGUCAGGCUCUGGGGGAGCUGGAGGGUACCAGGGGAAGGAGAGGGUUAAUCACCACAAUUGCCCAACAAGCAUUUCCUAAUAUUGUCAAUUUUACCCACAAGUUACAAUUUCUCUGUUACUAUAGAGGCAAGAUGUUGAUACUGGAUUCAUUUUCUGGGUUUUAUUCCUUUUUGUCAUUUUUCCCAUGAACUAAUAAGCCACAGUGGAUUUGAAAGUAUGAGCAAAUGUGAACACUAUACAAAGCACUUUUAUGUUCUAUUGACAUUUUCUUCCCACCCUAAUAAUUUAGAGCUGUUAACAUAAAAAAAAAAAAAACAAGAUGAUCAUACUUCCCAUCACUUUCAUUUCCCAAGUUUAUGAAGGAAGAAUCAUGAGUAAUUUCCCAUAGUUAUUGUUUGCAGCACAACACAUGGUCUCAAUUACUGGGAUAAGAAACAUAGAGAGGGUAUUGGUGAGGAUAAAUGAUUUAUCUGAGCAUUUCAUUCAAAAUUCAUUUUCCAUGCCACAGUUUAUAUUACUCUGAUCAACCAUCAUCUUUCUUAUUGCACUUUAUAAACUUAAUCCAACUCUUCUGAGCAGGACCCUGGGUCACGAGAGAUCAGUUUGCUGACAUGUUUUUGGAGCAGUGAAGCAUAUUCAGGGUGACCCUCCAGCAAACCUCCUUGCUGCUAAAGGUAUCUAUAUAAGAAGGGCAGAUCUGGGCAAAUCUAGGCUAACAGGACACAAAAUAACUCUUGGAUUCCACUUUUAUUCUAAUUCCAGGGAAAGAGAAAGAGGCAACAGCUAUUGUCAGGAUCCAUGCCAACACAGAACAGAAUUUGUGCACUAACAUGCAGUCUCUUCCUGGCAGUUGAAGGUAUUUCACUUUAUGCUGUAGCAGUAGAUUUGAAGAGCAUGGCUGGGACAGGCUGGUGGCACCCCGAAGACUCACAGCAAAUAGAAUUUGGCUGCUUGCAGCUUUUGCAGAGGUUAUCUCCCAGCUCACCACUGAGGUAGUCUUUGUCAUGUUUCUCUUCAAGCUGGUUAAGUUCCUUCUUUUUAUAGAGUGGAAUACUACUGAUUUGUAAUGAAUAGUUUCCAGGCACUGGCUUCUUCUUUGUGAAAUGAAGUGUUGUGAGGGCAGGAAGCAGUUCCAGGAUGCGGUCUUUGUUACUGAGAUCCGAGAUGUUGAUGGAGAAGACUGCUGCUUUCUCAACAUCCCAGCUGGCGAGACUGAUGGGUGGCUGCAGCUCUUGCUGAUCCUGCACAAGAACAAAUGAUGUCAGUUGGCUUUGUCAGAGCGCGUUCCACACAUGCCUGUGUGUAUGCGUUGCUCACCCAGCUCAUUCAUUAUUAAUUAAAUACUUUUCAGAAGGA